RNAcentral lists this ribosomal RNA (527 nucleotides) under uncultured bacterium. RNAcentral describes it as "partial 16S ribosomal RNA". It matches the Rfam family "Bacterial small subunit ribosomal RNA", at positions 355 to 895 of the family's 1533-position model. The record is from RNAcentral.
UGGGGAAUAUUGCACAAUGGGCGAAAGCCUGAUGCAGCAACGCCGCGUGAGUGAUGAAGGCCUUCGGGUUGUAAAGCUCUGUCUUUUGGGACGAUAAUGACGGUACCAAAGGAGGAAGCCACGGCUAACUACGUGCCAGCAGCCGCGGUAAUACGUAGGUGGCAAGCGUUGUCCGGAUUUACUGGGCGUAAAGGAUGCGUAGGCGGAUUUUUAAGUGAGAUGUGAAAACCCUAAGCUUAACUUGGGGACUGCAUUUCAUACUGGAAAAUCUAGAGUGCGGGAGAGGAGAAAUGGAAUUCCUAGUGUAGCGGUGAAAUGCGUAGAGAUUAGGAAGAACACCAGUGGCGAAGGCGAUUCUCUGGACCGUAACUGACGCUGAGGCAUGAAAAGCGUGGGUAGCAAACAGGAUUAGAUACCCUGGUAGUCCACGCCGUAAACGAUGAGUACUAGGUGUAGGAGGUAUCGACCCCUUCUGUGCCGCAGUUAACACAAUAAGUACUCCGCCUGGGAAGUACGAUCGCAAGAUU